UGGAGGCUGGCGUGGACGAGCGCCUCGCCAACCGGGUCAGGUCCGGAAGGAAGCAGCCCUAACGAGUUUUCCUCGGGUCGCGCCAGUCUCUGCUU
RNAcentral lists this signal recognition particle RNA (95 nucleotides) under Ponticaulis sp. RNAcentral describes it as "signal recognition particle sRNA small type". It matches the Rfam family "Bacterial small signal recognition particle RNA". From Rfam's summary of the family: The signal recognition particle (SRP) is a universally conserved ribonucleoprotein involved in the co-translational targeting of proteins to membranes. Archaeal SRP consists of a 7S RNA and homologues of the eukaryotic SRP19 and SRP54 proteins. Lineage: Bacteria; Pseudomonadati; Pseudomonadota; Alphaproteobacteria; Hyphomonadales; Hyphomonadaceae. The record is from RNAcentral.